Molecule: long non-coding RNA, 1214 nt
Organism: Homo sapiens (human)
Lineage: Eukaryota; Metazoa; Chordata; Mammalia; Primates; Hominidae
Gene: ZNF767P
Product: zinc finger family member 767, pseudogene
Source: Ensembl
GAGCAGCGGCGGCAGAGACAGGGCUGGGCGGGCGCCGCCUGCGGAGAGCACCGGGAGGCGGGCCCUGCGUGGGGCCGCGCGCAGCAGCGGCGACGACUUUAUCUGGGCCGCGGGGGACAGCGCAGGGCCAUGGAGGAGGCGGCCGCAGCUCCGAUUUCUCCGUGGACGAUGGCAGCCACGAUUCAGGCCAUGGAGAGGAAGAUUGAAUCGCAGGCUGCUCACCUGCUUUCCCUAGAAGGUCAAACCGGGAUGGCCGAGAAGAAGCUGGCUGAUUGCGAGAAGACAGCCGUGGAGUUCGGGAACCAGCUGGAGGGCAAGUGGGCCGUGCUGGGGACCCUGCUGCAGGAGUACGGGCUGCUGCAGAGGCGGCUGGAGAACGUGGAGAACCUGCUGCACAACAGGAACUUCUGGAUCCUGCGGCUGCCCCCGGGCAGCAAGGGGGAGUCCCCUAAGGUGCCUAUGACAUUUGAUGAUGUGGCUGUGUAGUUCUCUGAGCAAGUGUGGGGCAAGCUGGAGGACUGGCAGAAGGAGCUCUGCAAGCACGUGAUGAGGGGCAACUGCGAGAUGCUGGUCUCUUUGGACUACGCCAUCUCCAAGUCCGAGGUCCUCUCCCAGAUUGAACAAGGGAAGGAGCCCUGCAACUGGCGCCGCCCUGACCCCAAGAUUCCAGAUGUUCCUGUGGACCCCAGUCCAGGUAAGGGCUGGGAGAAGGCCAGGGAGGCAUCAGGUAUUUUGUGGGAAACAGAGAUGGAAAGGCCAGGAAGGGUGUGAUCUUUCCAGAGAGAGUCGAGGAGAAACAUGAAACUUACAGGUUUUAUGUCUUGAAUUUUUUAUAGUUGAGUUUUAAUCUCUAACUUAGUCAGCUAAUGCUCCAGAAACGAACACUUUCUAUCAGGGAAACAGGUGACAAACCUAUUCUUUUAGGAAGAGACAAAGGCAGGGCACAGGUUGAGGGGAGGGAGAGGAGGACACUGAGAGGGAAGGCAGGAGCAUAGUGGACCCUUGAACAACACAGGGGCCAGGGGCGCCAGCCCCCAGUCCCACGCAGCUGAAGAUCUACGUCUAACUUUUGACUCUCCAGAAAGUUAACAGAUAGUCUCCUAUUGACCAGAAGCCUUGAUACUAUGAACAGGGAAUAACACAUAUUUUGUAUGCUCUAUAUGUUAUGUAUAGUAUAUUUACAGUAAGCUAGAGAAAAAAUGUUAUUGGGAAAA